RNAcentral lists this unclassified non-coding RNA (906 nucleotides) under Hevea brasiliensis (rubber tree). The record is from RNAcentral. Lineage: Eukaryota; Viridiplantae; Streptophyta; Magnoliopsida; Malpighiales; Euphorbiaceae.
GCCUUUCCCACCUUAAUUUUUCAAUUCUAGAUCUGCAAUUUCAAACUUCUCUCUUUUUCCCCAAAACCAAAAUCCCCAGCUAGGGUUUUACCACUCCUUUUGCAGCUGUUGAGUUGUAGCAGAAUUCUUCUUCUUCUAUGGCGUCCGAGAAAGAAACCCUAGAUGACAAGAAACCAGAGGAAGUGAUUGAGGAGCAACAACCGAAGGAUAACGACAAGGAAAAGGAAGAGGAAUCAAUGCAAGUUGACAAAAAGGAUGUUGAAUCAGAGGAGGAGAAAGAAGAAUCAGAGGAGGAGGACGAAGAAAAAGAAGAAGAGAAACCAGUCAAGAAGAAGGGGAAAAGCAGAGGUGAGAGUACGGAAGAGCCUGUAACACCAAUCACAAGACCAACUAGGGAAAGGAAAACUGUGGAACGCUAUUCCGAGUCUUCGGAAGCUAGAGGUUCCACGCCUAAGCCCUUGUCAAUUAGGAAGGGUAGUGGUACUCAGCUGAAGGAUAUACCAAAUGUGGCUUAUAAACUAUCCAAGAGAAAACCUGAUGACAACCUGCAAAUACUUCACAACAUUCUUUUUGGCAAGAAAUCAAAGGUACAUAGUUUGAAGAAAAACAUAGGACAGUUUUCAGGAUUUGUUUGGGUUGAGGAUGAGGAAAAACAAAGGCGAAAAACCAAAGAGAAGCUGGACAAGUGUGUUAAGGAAAAGCUGCUGGAUUUUUGUGAUGUCCUCAAUAUUCCAGUGAGCAGAACUUCUGCAAAGAAGGAUGAGCUCACAGUGAAAUUAUUAGAGUUCCUAGAAUCUCCUCAUUCUACAACAGAUUCCUUGCUUGCUGAGAAGGAACAGGGUAAGAAGCAAAAGAGAAAGGGCUCAGCUAGCAAAAGUGCAGGCUCUUUGGAUAAGUCGGUUAAGA